AGUCAUAUGCUUGUCUGAAAGAUUAAGCCAUGCAUGUCUCAGUAUAAAUUUUUGUACGGUAAAACUGCGAAUGGCUCUGUAAAACAGUUACAAUUUUUUUGACAGUUGUUUAGAAUGUUGGAUACCUACGGCAAUUCUAGAGCUAAUACAUGCCCACAAACCCUACUUAUCGGACGGGUUGUGCGUAUUAGAAUCUCACUCAACCCGGACAACCCGGCUCCUACUUGAUUUAUGAUACAUUAGCAGAUCACCACCUUUGGUGAUGCGUCACUCGAGUUUCUGACCUAUCAGCUUCCGACGGUAGGGUAUUGGCCUACCGUGGCUUUAACGGGUAACGGAGAAUUAGGGUUCGAUUCCGGAGAGGGAGCCUGAGAAACGGCUACCACAUCUAAGGAAGGCAGCAGGCGCGUAAAUUACCCAAUCCUGACUCAGGGAGGUAGUGACAAGAAAUAUCAAUAUAAGACUUUUAUGUCUUGUAAUUGGGAUGAGCGAAACAUAAACCGCUUCUCGAGUAUCAAU
Molecule: ribosomal RNA, 519 nt
Filed under: uncultured eukaryote
Lineage: Eukaryota
Description: bacterial SSU rRNA
Rfam family: Eukaryotic small subunit ribosomal RNA
Source: RNAcentral